AACAUACGUACGAGAAUGGUAACACAAUUCUCAUUGACUGGUGGGAGACAGACAGAGAAGCGAAGACCAACUCUCAUCCACUAUAUCAGUUUGGCAAAUGUCGCUCAAAUGCAAAUCCAGUCAAACCCAUGUUUCUGUGUACGAUUGAUAUGUCCUUCCCCUUGUUACUGUUAUAAAUCUAUAUAUGCUGUUGAAAUGACUAUUUCUAUAUUCCAAUAACCAGUAACACUUAUUGGUUUGUCCAUCUCCUAACUUACAUAUUGUAUAUAUAUAUAUGUGUGUGUGUUUUAAAUUGAUGCCUCUAUGUACAUGUAACAAGGUGAAUUGUACAUACUUUGUAUUUACUAUAUAUGUUAUUGGUUUCCUAAUGCUUAGUAUAGUAGUCGCGGAUCACAUGAUAAUCACGUGAUCUCGAAUAUUUUGUAUAUGCUAUAUUAGUGUCAUUUUUACGAGUUAGUUUUAUUAACAUUUCUAAUAUAAUUCAGAUCAUUGAUAUGUACUAAAAUUAAGGAAAAUGUAAAACAUUAAUUUCCGGAACCUUCCUAUCUAUUUUUUGACCAAUCGGGUUGGAGCGGUCAGUUUAAAUACAAUGCCUUUGUUACUGGUCAGUACAAUAUCAGACAGCUGACAAUUAACAGGUGGAUCAAGUUUUCAAGUUUCUCCAGUAAUCUAUUCCGGAUCAAUAUAUAUAUAAUUGUUGUUGAAAUCAAUUCACAACAAGAAAAUGUAACGGUGAACUCCCAUCUUUACCUUACUUAGGACAAAUGCCAGAAAACACGUGAUGGACAAUAAAUAACAUGUAAUGAA
Molecule: long non-coding RNA, 807 nt
Organism: Pecten maximus
Lineage: Eukaryota; Metazoa; Mollusca; Bivalvia; Pectinida; Pectinidae
Exons: 2
Source: RefSeq, a predicted model, not a curated record